RNAcentral lists this long non-coding RNA (1016 nucleotides) under Vulpes vulpes (red fox). RNAcentral's name for it is "lncRNA (ENSVVUG00000001772.1)". Lineage: Eukaryota; Metazoa; Chordata; Mammalia; Carnivora; Canidae. The record is from RNAcentral.
UUAGGACCUCCAGUUUGGAUUGCAUCUCACUAAUUGAUUUUUAACUUCAGCCUGAUUAGACCAAAAUUCUUCAGUCAUGAAGUCUCUUGUGUCCUUUAUGCUUUUUUCCAGAGCCACCAGUAGCUUUGUAAUUGUGCUUCUAUAUUGGCUUUCUGACAUAGACUUGUAAUCCAAAUUCUGUAACUCUGGGAGAGAGUACUGUUUCUGAUUAUUUGUUUUGUGGUGAGUUCUUUCUAGUCAUUUUGUUCAGUGCAGAGAGGCUAAAAGUGAGUUGUACUGGAAAAAGGAAGAAGAAGAAGAAAAAACAAGGCGGGGUAUCCUCUGGUUCUAUAUACUGUAAUUCCUCGACUUCCCCUGGAGCUUUCCAGCUCUACUUGGUCAAGUACUUGCCCUUCCCCCGUCCUUCCAGCUGGUCUCUGGGGGAGGGGCCUGCUGUGCUGAUUCUCAGGUGUGUGCACCUGGGGGAGCUUCCCCGCUCCCUGCCGGUGCACGGCUCAGUGGGAGCUGUUUAUCCUGGGAGGCCCCUGUUCCCUGGCAACCCUGACCCUCCAAGGCACAGGGUGACACCAGGAGGAACAAGAGUGGCGACGGGCAGCUCUCCAGCCCCGGCGUCAGCUCCCGCAGUAACUACCGCAGCUCCCAGUCUGCACCGCCUGGAUGCUCUGGGGGCGGAAAGCGCUGAUCUGCACAGCUCGGGGGCACCCGGUGGCAGGAGCGUCCUCGCUGUCCUGGGCCCUCCCCGUCUCCGCCUGUCCGGGGGGAGCACAGGAUCCUGGGCUGUGUCCCUCAGCACCCUAGUCUCCGGGACCUGCGCUGCUGGAAUUGCGCUCCCCGGGCGCGCAGGCCCUUCUGCGUGGAGCUGCCGCCUGAGCUGCUCCGGAGGCCCCGCCAGGCUCUGUGCCCCUGGGGUGUGCGGCGCUCUCCCCGGGGCGCACUUCCUUUGUUAGGACCCCGGGAAUCUGGGGGCCCCUCUGCCCCUCCUGGGAUCCUGCCCGAGUUCCCUGCGAGUGCCUUUC